UACGUAGGGGGCUAGCGUUGUCCGGAAUCAUUGGGCGUAAAGCGCGUGUAGGCGGUCCGGUAAGUCCGCUGUGAAAGUCGGGGGCUCAACCCUCGAAUGCCGGUGGAUACUGUCGGGCUAGAGUGCGGAAGAGGCGAGUGGAAUUCCUGGUGUAGCGGUGAAAUGCGUAGAGAUCAGGAAGAACACCGGUGGCGAAAGCGCUCUGCUAGGCCGCAACUGACACUGAGGGACGAAAGCUAGGGGAGCGAAUGGG
This 253-nucleotide ribosomal RNA is filed under the name uncultured bacterium. Its description in RNAcentral is "partial 16S ribosomal RNA". It matches the Rfam family "Bacterial small subunit ribosomal RNA", at positions 524 to 776 of the family's 1533-position model. The record is from RNAcentral.